Conger conger (European conger) is the source of this 1330-nucleotide long non-coding RNA. RefSeq lists it as uncharacterized. NCBI's taxonomy places the organism in Eukaryota, Metazoa, Chordata, Actinopteri, Anguilliformes, Congridae. The record is from RefSeq and is a predicted model, not a curated record. The transcript is spliced from 3 exons.
AACAUUGUGAAUUCGGAGCGGGGUUAUCGGAUGCGCUCAGGGAUAGACUCGUCUGCGGGCUGCACAACGAGAACACACAGAAACGGCUCUUGACAAAGAAAGAUCUUACGCUAGAGGUCGCGUGCGACAUUGCCGUGUCAAUGGAAACGGUCGCAAAAGAUACAGUCAAACUGCAAAAGAAAAAUGUGGGGGAAUGCUCUUUGAAUAAGGUGGAGAGAGAUUCUGUCACAGCCAGGACCGCUGUCUUACAUCGUGCGUGUAGGGCCCGACAUUGUCUGGCGCAGCAUUGACUGGAUGCAACAACUAAGGCUACCACAGCUAAGUCAGUCGCACACCAAGACACCAAGACACCAUGAGUAUACUCUUAGAACACCAGAGGAACUUGGUGCUGAUGACACUGAUCCUGCCCUUGGUGCUGAUGACACUGAUCCUGCCCUUGGUGCUGAUGACACUGAUCCUGCAGAGACUGUUGAACCUCAUCUGAGGGCCGCUGGCUCUGGUUCUGAAGAACCCGUACGUUACCCUGAGAGAAAUUGUAGAGCACCUCAGAGGCUUGAUUUGUAGCUGGUUAUGAUUGACUAACUUACUUUGGCAGGAUCCACAGUUCAUCAAAAAAAAAAAACAAUGUUAAAGAAGGACAAUGUUAGAUCAGGAUUGGCUAAUACUAACAUACUAAUCAUGUGUUCAUGUUACCUUACAUUUCUUGUGCAUGUCAUUUACUAAUUUACUAAUGCUAGGGCAGGAUAGGUUUAUUACUAACGAUUACUAAUUACCUCGUUAACUUGUCAAUCCUCCACACCUGAUUUCCAUUCUCUUGCUGCUCUCAAGCUAAUUGUCUACACCUGUCUACACCUGCCUAAAAGCUCAGUUUCAUGUCAUGUCUGUGUGAAAUUGUUUGCCUCCUGUUCGUCAGUGCAUUCUCUUGAGCGGUAUACCAAGCCAUUGUCUACCCGGUACGAUCCAAGCCUGUUAUUGACCAUUGCUUAUUGGUUUCUGUUUUGUUGACCGAUCGAGGAUCAGUACACCACUGAAGGAGAGCGGGCUGUGCGACGGCGCCAGGAGCUGGGGAAAGUGAUUCACGGUGAAUAUUUCCCGCAUACCUAUUUAAGGGACCGGCCCCUUGGAGAGAGCCGCGCAGGAAAGAAUCAGCGCCAAGAAAACCACAUCACCAUGAACAUCCACAAGAGGAGCCCUGCUUUGUGAGAUGGAAGCAUAAUUAUCCAAAGAAGACUUGCAUUCGGUUCUCAUUUUUCUGAACAACCAUGAGUACUGAACCAACACCUCUUACCCCAGUGCCUGUAAAAUACAGAAGCAGCUUUUUGAUCAAGAC